AGAGUUUGAUCCUGGCUCAGAAUGAACGCUGGCGGCGUGCUUAACACAUGCAAGUCGAACGGUAAUAGGAGAAGCUUGCUUCUUGCUGACGAGUGGCGCACGGGUGAGUAAUGCAUAGGUAACGUGCCCCUUAGUCUGGGAUAGCCACUGGAAACGGUGAAUAAUACCGGAUACUCCUUCUCACUUAAUGUGAGUCGGGAAAGUUUUUCGCUAAGGGAUCGGCCUAUGUCCUAUCAGGUAGUUGGUGAGGUAAGAGCUCACCAAGCCUAUGACGGGUAGCGGGUCUGAGAGGAUGAUCCGCCACACUGGUACUGAGACACGGACCAGACUCCUACGGGAGGCAGCAGUGGGGAAUAUUGCACAAUGGACGAAAGUCUGAUGCAGCAACGCCGCGUGGAGGAUGACACAUUUCGGUGCGUAAACUCCUUUUAUAUGAGAAGAUAAUGAUGGUAUCAUAUGAAUAAGCACCGGCUAACUCCGUGCCAGUAGCCGCGGUAAUACGGAGGGUGCAAGCGUUAUUCGGAAUCACUGGGCGUAAAGGGUGCGUAGGCGGUUUGGAAAGUCAGGUGUGAAAUCCUACAGCUUAACUGUAGAACUGCACUUGAAACUUCCAGACUAGAAAACUGAAGGGGCAGAUGGAAUUAGUGUGUAGGGGUAAAAUCCGUAGAUAUCACUAGGAAUACCGAAAGCGAAAGCGAUCUGCUGGGAAGUUAUUGACGCUGAGGCACGAAAGCGUGGGGAGCAAACGGGAUUAGAUACCCCGGUAGUCCACGCCCUAAACGAUGAAUGCUAGUCGUCGGAAAGCUCGUCUUUUCGGUGAUGCAGUUAACACAUUAAGCAUUCCGCCUGGGGAGUACGGUCGCAAGAUUAAAACUCAAAGGAAUAGACGGGGACCCGCACAAGUGGUGGAGCAUGUGGUUUAAUUCGAAUAUAUGUGAAGAAUUUUACCUAGCCUUGAUAUUGAUAGAAUCUGAUAGAGAUAUCGGAGUGCCUGUUUGUAGGAACUUGAAAACAGGUGCUGCACGGCUGUCGUCAGCUCGUGUUGUGAGAUGUUGGGUUAAGUCCCGCAACGAGCGCAACCCUCGUCGUUAGUUGCUAACAGUUCGGCUGAGCACUCUAGCGAGACUGCCUUCGCAAGGAGGAGGAAGGUGAGGACGACGUCAAGUCAUCAUGGCCCUUAUGGCUAGGGCUACACACGUGCUACAAUGGGGCGUACAGAGAGUUGCGAUACCGCGAGGUGGAGCCAAUCUCAUAAAGCGUUUUUCAGUUCGGAUUGUUCUCUGCAAUUUGAGAACAUGAAGCUGGAAUUACCAGUAAUCGUAGAUUAGUAUGCUACGGUGAAUACGUUCCCGGGUCUUGUACUCACCGCCCGUCACACCAUGGGAGUUGAUUUCACCCGAAAUCGGGAAGCGAACCUUCGGGGCGCUACCGCUUACGGUGGAAUUAGCGACUGGGGUGAAGUCGUAACAAGGUA
Molecule: ribosomal RNA, 1474 nt
Filed under: metagenome
Description: bacterial SSU rRNA
Rfam family: Bacterial small subunit ribosomal RNA
Source: RNAcentral